UACGAAGGGGGCUAGCGUUGCUCGGAAUUACUGGGCGUAAAGGGUGCGUAGGCGGGUCUUUAAGUCAGGGGUGAAAUCCUGGAGCUCAACUCCAGAACUGCCUUUGAUACUGAGGAUCUUGAGUUCGGGAGAGGUGAGUGGAACUGCGAGUGUAGAGGUGAAAUUCGUAGAUAUUCGCAAGAACACCAGUGGCGAAGGCGGCUCACUGGCCCGAUACUGACGCUGAGGCACGAAAGCGUGGGGAGCAAAC
This 250-nucleotide ribosomal RNA is filed under the name uncultured bacterium. RNAcentral describes it as "partial 16S ribosomal RNA". It matches the Rfam family "Bacterial small subunit ribosomal RNA", at positions 524 to 773 of the family's 1533-position model. The record is from RNAcentral.